Molecule: ribosomal RNA, 2900 nt
Filed under: Klebsiella pneumoniae
Lineage: Bacteria; Pseudomonadati; Pseudomonadota; Gammaproteobacteria; Enterobacterales; Enterobacteriaceae
Description: bacterial LSU rRNA
Rfam family: Bacterial large subunit ribosomal RNA
Source: RNAcentral
UUAAGCGACUAAGCGUACACGGUGGAUGCCCUGGCAGUCAGAGGCGAUGAAGGACGUGCUAAUCUGCGAAAAGCGUCGGUAAGGUGAUAUGAACCGUUAUAACCGGCGAUGUCCGAAUGGGGAAACCCAGUGUGAUUCGUCACACUAUCGUUAACUGAAUACAUAGGUUAACGAGGCGAACCGGGGGAACUGAAACAUCUAAGUACCCCGAGGAAAAGAAAUCAACCGAGAUUCCCCCAGUAGCGGCGAGCGAACGGGGAGCAGCCCAGAGUCUGAAUCAGCUUGUGUGUUAGUGGAACGGUCUGGAAAGUCCGACGGUACAGGGUGAUAGUCCCGUACACCAAAAUGCACAGGUUGUGAACUCGAAGAGUAGGGCGGGACACGUGGUAUCCUGUCUGAAUAUGGGGGGACCAUCCUCCAAGGCUAAAUACUCCUGACUGACCGAUAGUGAACCAGUACCGUGAGGGAAAGGCGAAAAGAACCCCGGCGAGGGGAGUGAAAAAGAACCUGAAACCGUGUACGUACAAGCAGUGGGAGCACCUUCGGGUGUGACUGCGUACCUUUUGUAUAAUGGGUCAGCGACUUAUAUUCUGUAGCAAGGUUAACCGUAUAGGGGAGCCGCAGGGAAACCGAGUCUUAACUGGGCGUUAAGUUGCAGGGUAUAGACCCGAAACCCGGUGAUCUAGCCAUGGGCAGGUUGAAGGUUGGGUAACACUAACUGGAGGACCGAACCGACUAAUGUUGAAAAAUUAGCGGAUGACUUGUGGCUGGGGGUGAAAGGCCAAUCAAACCGGGAGAUAGCUGGUUCUCCCCGAAAGCUAUUUAGGUAGCGCCUCGUGAAUUCAUCUUCGGGGGUAGAGCACUGUUUCGGCUAGGGGGUCAUCCCGACUUACCAACCCGAUGCAAACUACGAAUACCGAAGAAUGUUAUCACGGGAGACACACGGCGGGUGCUAACGUCCGUCGUGAAGAGGGAAACAACCCAGACCGCCAGCUAAGGUCCCAAAGUCAUGGUUAAGUGGGAAACGAUGUGGGAAGGCACAGACAGCCAGGAUGUUGGCUUAGAAGCAGCCAUCAUUUAAAGAAAGCGUAAUAGCUCACUGGUCGAGUCGGCCUGCGCGGAAGAUGUAACGGGGCUAAACCAUGCACCGAAGCUGCGGCAGCGACACUAUGUGUUGUUGGGUAGGGGAGCGUUCUGUAAGCCUGCGAAGGUGACCUGUGAGGGUUGCUGGAGGUAUCAGAAGUGCGAAUGCUGACAUAAGUAACGAUAAAGCGGGUGAAAAGCCCGCUCGCCGGAAGACCAAGGGUUCCUGUCCAACGUUAAUCGGGGCAGGGUGAGUCGACCCCUAAGGCGAGGCCGAAAGGCGUAGUCGAUGGGAAACAGGUUAAUAUUCCUGUACUUGGUGUUACUGCGAAGGGGGGACGGAGAAGGCUAUGUUAGCCGGGCGACGGUUGUCCCGGUUUAAGCAUGUAGGCUGAUUGUCCAGGCAAAUCCGGAUAAUCAAGGCUGAGGUGUGAUGACGAGGCACUACGGUGCUGAAGUAACAAAUGCCCUGCUUCCAGGAAAAGCCUCUAAGCAUCAGGUAACAUCAAAUCGUACCCCAAACCGACACAGGUGGUCAGGUAGAGAAUACCAAGGCGCUUGAGAGAACUCGGGUGAAGGAACUAGGCAAAAUGGUGCCGUAACUUCGGGAGAAGGCACGCUGGUGUGUAGGUGAAGUCCCUGCGGAUGGAGCUGAGACCAGUCGAAGAUACCAGCUGGCUGCAACUGUUUAUUAAAAACACAGCACUGUGCAAACACGAAAGUGGACGUAUACGGUGUGACGCCUGCCCGGUGCCGGAAGGUUAAUUGAUGGGGUUAUCCGUAAGGAGAAGCUCUUGAUCGAAGCCCCGGUAAACGGCGGCCGUAACUAUAACGGUCCUAAGGUAGCGAAAUUCCUUGUCGGGUAAGUUCCGACCUGCACGAAUGGCGUAAUGAUGGCCAGGCUGUCUCCACCCGAGACUCAGUGAAAUUGAACUCGCUGUGAAGAUGCAGUGUACCCGCGGCAAGACGGAAAGACCCCGUGAACCUUUACUAUAGCUUGACACUGAACAUUGAGCCUUGAUGUGUAGGAUAGGUGGGAGGCUUUGAAGCGUGGACGCCAGUCUGCGUGGAGCCAACCUUGAAAUACCACCCUUUAAUGUUUGAUGUUCUAACGUUGGCCCCUGACCGGGGUUGCGGACAGUGUCUGGUGGGUAGUUUGACUGGGGCGGUCUCCUCCCAAAGCGUAACGGAGGAGCACGAAGGUUAGCUAAUCCUGGUCGGACAUCAGGAGGUUAGUGCAAUGGCAUAAGCUAGCUUGACUGCGAGCGUGACGGCGCGAGCAGGUGCGAAAGCAGGUCAUAGUGAUCCGGUGGUUCUGAAUGGAAGGGCCAUCGCUCAACGGAUAAAAGGUACUCCGGGGAUAACAGGCUGAUACCGCCCAAGAGUUCAUAUCGACGGCGGUGUUUGGCACCUCGAUGUCGGCUCAUCACAUCCUGGGGCUGAAGUAGGUCCCAAGGGUAUGGCUGUUCGCCAUUUAAAGUGGUACGCGAGCUGGGUUUAGAACGUCGUGAGACAGUUCGGUCCCUAUCUGCCGUGGGCGCUGGAGAAUUGAGGGGGGCUGCUCCUAGUACGAGAGGACCGGAGUGGACGCAUCACUGGUGUUCGGGUUGUCAUGCCAAUGGCACUGCCCGGUAGCUAAAUGCGGAAGAGAUAAGUGCUGAAAGCAUCUAAGCACGAAACUUGCCCCGAGAUGAGUUCUCCCUGAGACUUUAAGUCUCCUGAAGGAACGUUAAAGACGAUGACGUUGAUAGGCCGGGUGUGUAAGCGCAGCGAUGCGUUGAGCUAACCGGUACUAAUGAACCGUGAGGCUUAACCUU